GCGUCUCUCUCUCCUUCCUUCUCCAAUACAAAGUUCGGAACCCAAACGGCCAAAAGUAUUCCCAAAGGCAACUGGGUAACAUUUUUCACCCUCGAUUUCUGCUCAAUUCAUUGAGAAACAUAGGCAUUUCAUUUUAUUUACUCCUUUUCUCCUCAUGGCUUGGUGGGAAGGUUUUGAUGAAACUCGUGUUCUUGUUGCCUCAGGUAACUCUAUACAGAACUUUAGGGUUUUAAAUUGUUUGCAUAUGUAUUAUAUUUUCCUUUUUAUCUAAUCUUUAUACUUGUAUAUUAUUUAGUAACUUUAGGUUUAUUUGCAAAUGAUGGGUGAAAUAAGACUAUUUGUACUAAUUUAAUAUCUCCACCGACUAUUUUGUUCUAUGAUUAGUUGUUGAUUUCAUCUCAUGGACUAUGUUUGUCAGUUCUAGGGCCAUUUGAUGAUGGGUUAUAAUCUGGAGUGGAAAGUGGUAUUAUUUAAUAUAAAGGACCUUCAAAAUGGUAACACUGGAUAACUUGCUUACAUUCUGCUUAUAAUUCAUGAGAUUGAAUAAAGGACCACGGGAUAAAAUAGCCAUGAAUUGUGUUAAAUUUGUACAAAUAGUUGUAUGCUAUCCAUCAUUUUUUGCAAAUAGCCACACACAUAUGACAUACACACACAUGACAAUAUAUAUAUAUAUAUAUAUAUUGUCUAAUUGUUUGUGGCAUUGGAUAUUCCAUUUGUCAUAAAUUUUGGCUUUGAUUUUGUGGAACCUUAUAUUUAUACCAGAAAGAUAUACUUAUUAGUUAAAUUGACGAGGCCAAAUCAAGAAGAUUAGACGUGAUGCUGUAUAUUAAUGAGAAUUAUUGUAUGCUAAUGUACACACAAGGCCUGUUUUUGUAUGAGUAAUUUUGAAUAGCUAUGAGCUAUCACUUCCCAAGCUCACAUAAUAAUCUGCUUAAAAAAGAGAGGUUCCACCUUGAGCUGAACUGGUUUCGUUAUAAUAUGUUUUAGUUCUUGCAGCUUGAUGAUAUAGAAAUGUACGGAUUAAUAAUAAUCUGAAAUGAUUAUAAUUGAUAGUACUCUACAGAGUAGGGUGUUGUGAAAGCUGCGGUAUAUCUAAAAAUUUGCAAGCUUUAUAUUGUGUUUGUGAGUUUGGAGGGAUAAGUCAGAAGGGGGGAGGGAUGAGAUGGAAGGGAACGUAAAAGUCCAGUUGGGAAGGGUUAUAGCUUUCUCUUGUCAGAUUUCUGAGUUUAAUAAGGAAGAGAAGGGAUUUUAGCACUACUGUUGUUGCGAGUGUUAAAAAUGAAAGAAAAGAAAGGAAACUGACAAAAGUUAGGGAAGAGAGUCACUUUCUCUUGUUUGUGCUUCUUAAAGGAGAGAACAUAAGAGAAUAUAACUCCACUUUUUUUCCAAAGCUUUCCUCCCAAAAUUGGUAAGAUUUGGAAAGAUAGUGAUGAAAGACCUAUUACAUUUCAAAGUACCAAAAAUGCAAUUAUAGUGGUUUAUCAAAUUUAGUCGGAUAAAAUAGUAAGGUACUAUUACUUGUUCUUUACUUCCAAAAAAACUCAAAACACAUGAAAGGAAAGCCAACUUCUCACUUCGCAAAAAGAAAGAAAGAAGCCAACUUCUAUUCAUUUUUUCUUGCUAAACUCACGAACACGACUUCCCUUGGUUGUAUGUUUAAAUAAGAGAAAGGAGGGGAAGAGAUUUUAAUAAUUACGUUGCGUUUGUGAGUUUGGAGGGAUGUGUAUUGGGGAGAUAAGAAAAAAUAUCUAAGUGGAGGAAGGGUUGGGAAGGGAUGUCAAACGAUUUUAAAUUUCCCUUGUUAUUUUUAUGAGCUAAAUAUAGGAAGGGAAGGGAUUUUAUGUACAUUCCUUUUUGUGGUUUUAGAAGUAGAAAAGCGAAUUUAAUUGUUAAAGCACACAGUUAAUAUAUCACCCCUUAAUAAAAGAGUAAUGAAAUAAAUAUUGAUUUAUUUUGAGAAUGUUAUUUUUGGUAAUAUGAAAAGUUCCCACCCUCUGCAUCCCACCUAAUUCUCCCAUUUUGGGGGAAAGUUUUGAGAGCAAUUUCACAUUAACUUAAAUCUCUCUCCAUUCUCUUUGGAAAACUCUCAAACAUGUGAUUUAUCGGUAUUUAAAUUACUUUCUCUUAGCUCCCCUUCUCUUUAAAAAACUUUCAAACAUGUGAUUUGGGGGUAUUUAAAUUACUUUCUCUUCCUUUCCCCCCAAAAUAUCUUUUUAAAGUACACUAUUACUAUAUUGUCUUUAAAAUAAAAAAGGGUUGGUUUAUUUUGAAAGGCAAUUUUUGUUAUUAAUAAAAGUCAACUUCCCCAUUCCUCCUUAUCUCUUCAAAUCCUCCAAUUUUUGGAGAGAAGUUUUGAGAGCAAAGUCGUAUUAAUUUUACCUCCAAAUACCUUCCCACCCCUCAUUAAAAAUCUCACAAACUUGGAUUUGGAAGGAAAGUUCCAAAUUUCCCUCCCCCAAAGUAAAAUUUAUAAACAUUGUGUUAGUGGCCAAGGAAAUACUAAUUAUAGAUGUCUACAGAGUAAGUCUAGUCAUUUCAAUUAUACUCUGUGCCCCAAGCCCCAAGUAUUUACAAAUAUUGAAUUAUAAUACAGACAACAAUUGUGUCCAACAUAUUUUUAACACCUGCAAUCAAUGGAUCUGAACCACAAAAUUUCAGUAGGUAAUGGUUCUAAUAGCAAAUUUCCUUUGUUAUCGUAUAUGUGGGAGGUUAAGGUCCUGAUCAUUAAGAAUUCUUAUUUGGUCUUUUAAUAAAAAUUUGCUCAACGCGGUGAUUUACUUUAGAUGCAUAGUCCGUAUAACCUUCUCGCUCCAGAUAUACAAAGAGUUUGUGGAGUUCUUUGUUAGGGAUAUUCAAUGAAGCCUGGGUCUGUCCUUAGAGUUUGAAGAGUGAUCUACUUUAGAUGCAUAGUCUCUAUAAGCUCCUCGCUCCAGAUACACAAAGAGUUUAUGGAGUACUUGGUUAGGUAGAGAUAUUCAAUGAAGCCUGGGUCUGUCCUUUGAGUUUGAAGAGUUUGCAAAAGUUCAGUAUUAGGGGUUAGUUGAGGAAGAUCUUGUUGCUUUAUUAUGUUUUUUUAUCCAUUUUAUGGGGUACAUGGAUUUAGAGGAACCCUGAGGUAUUUUGAGAUAGUCAUCUUCAUAUUCACCUCUUUCUUAUUGUCUUUUUUGGCUUCUCUUUGUAUGAAGGCUUGGUGAACGUUUAGUGGGAUUAACAGGCUGUUCUUUAGUAGGGACUUAAUUUAUUUCUUUUGAGUAUUAUUGUCCGUCCUUAUUGUGACAAUUCUUAUAAAUUUUAUUCUUAUACUGAAGAAGAAACAUAAAGUAAUGUCAAAAGUGAAUGCUUGAAUGGUUUUUUUUUCUUCAGGUUUCUUAUAAUUAAUAUGUUUCUGGUUUGUGGCAUUUAUAUUCUUACUGCAAAUAUUUGCGUUCCAUCAGCUACAUAUUCAUAGACUAAAUUAUGUUUAGUCCCCAUGCAUCAAUUUGUGUUAUUUAAGCUCCUGAAAUAAUAAUUGCAGAUCCUGGUACAGCUGGAGAUAAUGGGGGACGUUUGCUAUCCCUUCGCCAUCCUAAAACCGGUACUGUAGUUAUAUGGUAUUAAUAGUUAAAUAGUUGUAAUUAUGUUCUCCCCCUGCCACCUAUUAGGGACUUAGGGUAAUUAUUGUAAAAACUGUAAUAUUUUUCUUAUAAAAUGUUUCUUGUAGACAGCUGUUAUUAUUGGGUAGUACAGAGGCUAAGUUACUUUAUCUGCUGGUUGGAAAUUUCAAAAAAUCUCAAAUUGAAAAUGCUCUGCACUUAUGUGACAGGAGAAACAACCUCCUACCUUCUUACUAAUGGAGUGCUUCAAGAACUUCAUUGGUUUAAGCAAGCUUAUGGGUCUUGGUUCUUAGGGGAUUAUAUUUGUGAAGGUAAACACAUGGUUUUACAAAAGUGUAACUUAUGCUAUGCAUGUGUAUCAUAAAAUUUCUCCAUCUUGUAGAUAGUCAUGACACAUUAAGUACAUAUAUGUUAAGGGAUAUAUAUACAUAUACAUGUUGAAUAAUAUGCUUGUCUUGGAGCUCGGUAAUAGCUCAAAAUUGGAUGCAACGCCUCUAAAACUCGAAGGAAGUUGCCUAUCCUACUUGAGUAAACUAGAUGAAUUUUACCGCAUUUAUUUUUCAUUUAAGGGAAUUAUCAAGUUCUGUUACAUUUCCAUAAGUAGAGAUGGCAAUUUACAUGGGUCUGUGGACGCUGCUCGACCUCGACCCUAAUGGAGUUGAUUUUUUGAUCGUUGACCGGGAUUUGGGAUUGAAUUGGGGAAAAUCCGAAGACAAAAAAGGGGGGUCGUGUCAGGUUAUGCUCCCCUUGCACUGUAAUCUUGGAGAUUGAAGAAUGCUUUGACAGAGUUUAUUCUCUAUUUAUUUCCUUUGAUUUUGUAAUCUAUAAAUGUUGUAUAUGUUGAUAUUGAUGUUUACUUUAAAAGUUAUGAACUAAACAUUUGUUCUAAGAUUAUAAUGGAAUCCUAAUUUGAAUUGUUUUUCUUUUCUCUUUGGUUGACACCAUAUGGUUUGGCUCAAUAUAUUUAUGCUUAAUGUGUAAUUGCUAAGGGAUUAAUAAUUAAUUUGGUAAUCUAUAAGAAUUUGGGAAAUGGAAUGUAGAUUUAAACCAUGAAUAUUUUGGCAUGUGAUUAUGCUUUGUCUACACCAAUAGACUACAUAAUUUGAGUAUAAGAUAAGAAUAUACCUAUAUGUCAUAUGUGACCUAAUUGAGAACCUAAGCUUCCUUGUCUAUGGUUAAUUCGCAUAGGAAUAUGUCGGAUUAUUUAGCUAGGAUGUUCCUUUCCGUUCUAUUUCCUUCUAGGUAGAUCUAGAGAGGAUAUGUUUAUAUGUAUCUCGGAAGUGGCGUAUGAACACUUGGUGAAUUCUUGGUUGACAAUCCAUCGUGACCACUAUAAUCAAAGGGACAAUUAGGAUAUUUAAAUGAAACAUAGCAUUUAUUUGCGUGGGGGACAUUAUGAUCUUAGCUUGUAGUACCUUAGAUGCUAGUCAUUAGCCAUUUACUUGCUUUAUUAAUUAGAAUUAAUUAAUUUAAUUAACUACCUUUUAUUCAACUGUUUAAAUAAGACUGAGGCGAUAUAAAGGCAGUACUUCGUAGGAUCGACGACUUACUUAUUCUUUAUUACUUGUGGACCACAAAUACUUGCGCGUAUUUUAUUGAUUCUAAAAUCAACCAACAAGUUUUUGGCACCGUUGCCAGGUAAUUAUUUCUUCUAAUAUUGUCCAAUAUUGAUUUCAAUCAAUUUAGUCUUAAUUUAGACGUGUAUAUUUAUAUUUAAUUUGUUUGAGCUUUGUUUUGUUUUUAAGUGUUUUCAGGCUAUGGAUGGGCAUAACUGUCAAUGGCCUUGUGAGAAUACGACACAACCAAGUUCGGAAGGAAUACUUGAGCGAUUGCAAGAACAAGUUGCAAAUCUCUCAAGAUUUUCUGACAAUCUUGAGUGUCAAUCCACUCAGAAUGCCGACUAUCAGGAUCAAGCUGACUAUGACCCAACCUACUAUCAUCCAGAGUGUCAAAGUUAUCCAAGCUUUUCAUGGGACAACAGUCAAAAGCAAUCCUGUGCUCCAAAUUUUUCAUACCAGGCAGAAUUUGUAUACCAACCUCCAUCGCAAUAUGAGGAGGCAUCUAAGUUGGAGGAGAUUCUUUCCCAGUACUUAGAGCAACAAGAAGAAAGAAGGUUGGAGGAUCUCCUUUCCAAAUUCAGCAAAAUGAGGUUCAGAUGACGAACCAAAAUGCUUCAUUGCGAAACCUUGAGAGCCAAGUUGGACAACUUGCCAAUAUUAUUCUUAAUCAACCGCAUAGCAUUUUACUUAGCAUCCUACCAAAGAGGGUGAAGAGCAAUUCAUGGUGGAUAUGCAAGAAAAUGGCGAGGAGUUACACAAGGAUGUUGAAGACAAUGUAGAAAUACAUCUUGAUGUGACUGUGGAUUACGAGGUUGGAGAACAUAGGAGCACUAUUGGGUGUAAUGUCAAGGAAGAUGAAGAUCUUGAAACCACAUUCAAGGUUUUCGAAACCCUUGACGACCCAAUGGAUCAUGAAGAGCGUUUUCAGGUUGAUCUUCUAAAAGGCGAAUUGAUGGACAAGUCAAACAAUGAAAGUUUCUUGUUGCUAAAUGACGGAAUUGAGUUGGAGGGUCACCAACCUUGCGCAAAUGCCAUACAUUGCAAGGAAAAGACAAAUAGGCGGGCAUGAUAUGGUCAUUUUCGCGUAUGAGCCGGAUUGAAAGGAAAUGAAGGAGUUGAGCCGACGACUUUAAAACAAGCGCUCAAUAGGGAGGCAACCCUAUUUCAGUAUCAUUCUUCUAUCCUCUUUGCUUUACAUAUGCUAAUUGUAGAAUAUUUCCAUGCUUUCAUAGUAGUAAAUGUCCUAAAUCGCUUGCAUGAUGAAUUUUAUUAGUUGACGUUUUCGACAUCAUUGUGGUAUUCAAUUAAGCAAGAUUUUGGAAUCCAUUAGCAUUCUUUUAGUCUUGGUAUGCUUGUGAGUUAAAUGAAGUCCUUCUCAUCUAAGUAUCUAAGUUUAGUGUUGAUAAAUUAGUAUUAGUUUGGUAAUAAUUUGAGUUUUGUAUUUUAGUUUUUAGUAUGUUAGUAUUAGUUUAUCUUUGUAUGCUAGGUUGUGGUAAGAUUGUGGUAUACUUGUGAUUUUUGACCAAAUAUUUGCUGUAAGGAAUUGGUGUUUUAUGUGCAGAAAAGAUUAAUUUUUUUUGCCUGAUGCAGGGUCGGCGCUGCAGUGCCUGUUUUUACUCUUUAAGUGGCGCGACAGUGCCUCUAUCAAACCUAAGGUUUAUUAACCCGUGCUGCAGCGCCUCUCGAAGCUCGGCGCCGCAGCGCCUCAACCCAAGCCACCUACUGCAAAAAUGCGCCACAACGCCUCUUAAUGAAGGAAUACUGGCGCUGCAGUGCCAAUAGCGAAAUUUUGUUGAAUAAGUUGGGCUUCGCUUGGCUGGUACAACACAACUCCCCCCUUAUUUCGCCUAAAUUAACACACGACACCAAGGAAAACUAAGCCUAACGCAAGCACUCGCUAGGCAGUUAUAACGCCAAUCCCCAAACUCUUUGCACUCCACUUUCAUCAAACCAAUCGCAACUCCUUACUUCUCUCUUCCAAUUCCAUGUUAAUCGAUCAUCAUCUGGAUACAUAGUCAAUCGCAGGGUAUUAAGGGGUCCAAUUGGCCACAAUCCAAAUUGGGGUUACAUAGUGCAGAUGCCAACCCAAAUCUUCAAUCACAAAGCUUAUAUCCUAUUCAUAAGUAAGUUUCGUUUAACUGACUCGAUUACGAAGUGCAAUUAGGUGUAAUAAGGCUUGGUAAUUGGAUUACUUGGAAAUUUAAGAAUUUUUAGCCAUUUUUUGAAAUUGGGGCUUGAACAUAUACUUUGGACUGCUGUGAUUUUGCAAUUACUUGGGUUUGCUAUUAUUGGCUCUUUAGAUUUGCUGUGAUUUGUUUUGAGAAAAUUUUGGGUUAGAGAUAACUAAAUAAGGGUUGACAGAAGGAGUUUUAAACAACGCAUGCCAGGUGUUCGACAAUUCGCCUAAAGUGAACAUUGGGCUCAGUUUAGCUUGUAGUUGGCAUUGGUUUGUAGUUGGACUUUGUAGUUUGGGAUUGGUUUGUAGUUUGUGUUUCCAGGUGAACAUUGGUUUGUAGUUUAGCUUGGGUUCAAUUUGGUUUGUCAGAUUGUAGUUUGGCUUGGUUUUGAAUUGCAUUUGGUCAUUUGUACAUAGUAGUUGCUGAGAAUCCUGACAUGGCUACUAAACGACAACGCACUAGCACUAGCACUAGCACUAGCACUUCUCGGGCCGUAGCCGCUCUACAAUGGGACCGUACGAAAUUUGUGAGUGAAGAGGCAUGGACAAAGUACAACCAAAUUUAGGCCAAUAAGAGGUUAGUGCCUGAAAGAGGCCUGAGGCCAGAUCAGAGGAAGGAUGGAGAGAUGGGGUUGAUGAUUACCGAACGAAAAUGGGUUCAUUUCACAACGCAACCAAAAUCUGCCAUUAUCUCUUUGGUCUGAGAGUUCUUUACUAAUGCCAAUGUUGAAGGUGCAUUAGUGGUUCAGGUUCGAGGUCAAGCAGUGGCCUAUGACAUCAAAACAAUCAAUGCCCUUUUUCAAAUGCCUAACUACGAUUGCAAUGAUUACUUGGAGAAUGGGAUUCACAGCUAUAAUCUGGAGGAAAUUAUCAAACGGCUUUGCAAGCCCUGUACGACUUGGAAAACUAAUGAAUACACGAGUGAAAAGACAAGCUUCCCACACCAGUCGCUCAGUCGCUAUGGAAAUGCGUGGUAUAGCUUUAUAUGUUCCAAUAUCAUGUCGACCGUCACCAUAGCGAUGUCACCAAAGAGCGAGCUAUCUUAUUCUUUGCCAUUGUUAUCGGUUUAAUGUUCGAUAUUGGAGUAAUCAUUCAAGAAUCCAUCCUGAAAGCUAUUAAGGGCAGUACAUCUGGGGGACUCCCACACCCGUCACUGAUCACAAGGCUGUCUAAACGGGGCGAACGUUUAUUGGCGAGAAGAUAAGAUAGUCCAGCCACCCAUGCCAGUCAUCUUUCAUGCCAUUAUUUCGCGCUUCAGUGUUUGGUAUGGAGUAGUCUCUCAUGUCCGAGGUGAGGGCUACCUACCUGCCACUUAGCCUCCACCUUCGUUAGAAGCCGGAACUUCUACCCAGCAGCAGCAAGAUCUUGCAGCUGGGCCUGUGGCAGACAUUCUCGCAUCUCUGACUCUGUUACAUCAAAAGGCUGAUGGGGUUGCACAGUGGGUCGACAUACAGUCUCGGCGGAUCGACGUAAAGACAUGACCUAAUGAUGCAAUAUCAAGCAGAGUUCGGCACCACAAUGGCUAAUAUCUACUCGUUAUUUGGUGGAGAUGAGGUAGAGUCUAUGCCCUUCCAGUUUCCUCAACCUCCGGUAUUCCCUCCAUAUCCACCACCGUCUCCCACCAUGGAUGAUGGCGGCAAAGGCGAUGACACCGAGUGAUCAUACCCUUAGAGAAGCCCUCACAUAUUGAUAUUUGCAUGCUAGACAAUGAGGGCAUUGCCCAUUUCAAGUUUGGGGGUGUUUAUCACUUUGCUUUCUUAUGCCAUGAUGUUAUUAGGAUGCCAUUAGUACGAUAUAUCUUGCUUUAUUAGUAUUUAGGCUGUAAUGAACUGUUAUUAAUUGCAGCCAUGGAUUAUUAUGUUUUGAUGCAUGGAUUAUAUAGGUCAUCAUGUAUGGAUAAUUAUCUAUCUUUUUAUUAUGAAUGGAUGUUUAUCUAUCUUUUGUGCCAUGCUAUAGCUUUAUUAGACCCUAUUUUGAGCUGUUAUAUUAUUGCAAGAGUUUAUAUAUAUUAUUUUUUUGGGUUUAUAAUUUUUAAUUGUGGCCAAUGAUAAGCAUGUUGUGUAUUGCUAUUUCAAGGAGUUAUUUGUCAAGCCUGUUGGGAAGAGGUAUUCAAAUUAAUUAUUAGUUGAGACGCGUGUUGAUCCUUUCUUUCCCAUUGAGCACAUACCAACUGUUGUGGCUAGUUAUACUUCAGAAAAAGCUUAUGUAGUUAAUUGCUUUGAAAUUUUUUGCGUUAUCUCUUUUUAACUUGAGUGAGUCAAUGUAGAUUUGCUAGUUUUCUGACAUAGCCCACUUGCUACACAAUGACCCAACUUGCUGUUUAGUGUCGCCCACUGCUGCACAAUGCUGCUCAUUGCUACUCAAAUGAGUAAGUGUCAAGCUCGUUUGCUGACUAUGUGUGCUCAGCGCCCUUGGCUGCCGUCUGCUGCUGCACACUGCCGCACACAUACGCCUUCUCCCCACAAAUGAGUGCCAAGGCUUGGCUUGACAUGCUAUUUGGGCAUCCCGUAUGCCAAGUCCGUGUCAACCCAUUAAAGGGCUAACAAACCACCCCCACCAGAAGAGCCCGACGUUCUCGUCGGAGGGUGUUCCCAAUACUCAACAUUCUGUCUCUUAAAUUGCCACAAAGUCAUAUCUCUUUCCCAACUCGCGUCUACCUCAUUUUCACCUUUUCAAUGCACAAGAUAAUCUAUUCUACGAUUUUUCUUGCUCUGACCUUCAGUCCUAUGAGCCAAAAUAUUCUCAACAUCCUUAUCAAACUGCUUUCUGAUCACUGGCCCUCUUGACUUGUUUCUUACCAGCAUUUAGCAAUUCUUGCUGGAAUGGAUUAAGGUAACUCACAUGGAAUGUUGGAUGUACUUUCAUCCUGGCUGGAAGCUUCAGUCUGUAAGCCACAACCCCAACUCUUUUCAUCACUUCGAAAGGACCGUCAUACUUUGAAAUCAAACCCCUAUGCAAAACCUUGCUACUGAUCUUCUUCUAAAUCCGUGGUGUCAGCUUCAGCAACUCCAUGUCUCCCACUUUAAAUUCGAGCAGCCUCCUGUGUGCAUCAACAUACUUCUUCAUCCUUCUCACUCCCUUGCUCAAGCUGUCUCUUGCCUCUGCAAUCAACUCUGUUAUAGCUCUUGCAAAUCUGUAAGCAGCAGGACAAUUACCUCCGGUACGCUGCACAACCACAUCGUUUGGAGUCCUUGGCUGAUAACCCAUGCUCAGCUCAAAGGGACUCAUACCUAUUGCAGAAGAUUGAUGCAAAUUGUAACAAAACUAAGCUGGCUCUAACAACUCCAACCAAUUUUUUUGACUUGCAGUAACAUUAUGUCGCAGAUACUCUUCGAGCAACUAAUUCAUCCUCUCAGUCUGACCAUCUGUCUGAGGGUGAUUCGUUGUACUGAACAUCAAUUUAGAUUUAACCAAACCAAACAGAACCGUCCAAAACUUGCUCGUGAACCGAGUAUCUCGAUCACUUAUGAUAUCUUCAGACAACCCAAAAUAUUUAACAACAUGCUUGAAAAAUAAGCUAGCAGCAACAUCUGCCGUACAAGAAUGUGGUGUAGGGAUGAACACCGCAUACUUGGAAAAACGAUCAACUAUAACAAAUAUUGAUCUCAUCCCAUCAACCUUCGGCAACCCAGAAAUAAAGUCCAUCGAUACUGACUGCCAGGGUCUGUCAGGAAUGGGAAGAGGCUGCAACAAGCCUGCUUUACUCUUUUUCUCAAGUUUGUUCACUUGGCCAUACGAGACAAUACUUGACACACGUCUCAACGUCAUUUUCCAUCUUAGGCCAGUAGUACGAACGAGACAGCAAAGCCAACAUUCUCUCAAUGCCUGGGUGAUUAGUCCACUUUGUGUCAUGCGUUUCAUGCAUGAUCUGUCUCCUCUAACCCCCUCCACAAGGGACAUACAAUCUACUGCCUUUUGCAUAAAGCAACUCAUCUUCAACCUAAUGUCUUCGAACUAGCCCUUCCUGUACUUGAACGAAGUCUUUGGUAAACAACAUCACUUUGAGAUAGUUCCUUAAUCUUGUCCAGGAACUCUGUCUCAACCACUGUGAGAGUAGCAACAAACUCUUGCACCACCUUUCUACUUAAUGCAUCAACAACUGAAUUUUGCGUACCAGGUUGGUGUAUCCACACAAAAUCAAACUCUGCUAAGAAUUCCUGCCAACGAGCCUGCUUAGGGGCCAACUUCUUCUGAGCCUUGAAGUAGGUGUUGGCUAUAUUGUCAGUUAACACCACAAACUUCGUACCCAGCAAGUAGUGUUUCCACGUUUCGAGGCAAUGCACCACUGCAGUCAUUUCCUUCUCAUGAGUACUGUACCUUUGUUUAACAUCCUUCAAUUUUCGUCUUUCAUAGGCAACGAGAUUCUUGUUCUGCACUAGCACCCCACCAAUAGCCCUGUCCGACGCAUCAAUAUAUACCUCAAAAGGAAUCUCAAAGUUAGGAAGCUUCAACAUUGGUUCAGAUGACAUAGUUUCUUUUAAUCUCUCGAACGCUUCUUGACAUCCCAUUGUCCAUUCCCACUUAUUAUCCUUCUUGAGUAAGUCAGUCAAGGGAGACACCAUUUUUGGAUAUCCCUUGAUGAACUUUCGGUAGUAGUUUGCCAAUCCUAGAAAUGAUCUCAACUCAGCAACUUUUGUAGGAGUAGUCCAUUCAAUAAUGGCUUGGACUUUCUUCUCAUCCAUUCUUACUUGUCUUUGGCUAAUCUAGUGCCCAAGGAACAUGAACUCUGCUCUACAAAACUCACAUUUCUCUUUUUUCACAUACAACUGAAACUCUCUCAGCUUUUGAAAAACCAACUUACGAUGUUUAAGGUGACCAUCUAGUGUUUCACUAUAUAAAACAAUGUCAUCUAGAUAGACAACAACAAAUCUAUCUAGAUACUUAUAAAAUACAUCGCUCAUAAGAUUACAAAAUGUAGCAGGGGCAUUGGUUAAGCCAAACGACAUUACAAGGAAUUCAUACGAACCAUGCCUUGUCACACAGGCUGUUUUAGCUUCAUCACCGCAGCAAUCCUCACUUGCCAACACCCAACUCUCAAGUCCAAUUUCGUAAAGUACUUGGCUCGGGACAAACGAUUAAACAAGUCAGCAACAUUAGGAAUAUGGUACUUGUUUUUGUUAGUGACCUUAUUCAAUGCUCUGUAGUCCACGCACAUCCUCAUCGAGCCAUUCUGUUUUUUUUGAAACAACACAGGUCCUAGGUUUCAAUAAGUGGAAUCAUUUUGAAGUUUUGACGGGGCAAAAAUUUUGUGAGAUUGUUGCUGUAGAAAAUCUGAGGGCAGAUGGCGAAUGCAAACUUGAAGGCUGAGUUGCAGGAGCUUGUGCAACGACUCGAAACAUAUGUGGGCGAAGCAGUUUUGGGGGAAAGUAGCUUGCUGUCAAAUCAGAUCAGGGCAUUUGGUGCUUAUCUGCAGAAUGAACUGAGUCACAUAAUGGAACGUGAUCAUGCAACUGAUGAAAAGAUCAAUGGUUUGUCAGCAGAGAUGGCACGAUUGACAACCAUCGGCGAAAAGUUGGAAGCGGCUUCCAACCGAAUUGAUGGGGAAAUUACCCUCGUCAAGCGAGCUGUGUUACUGACAGUUGGGACAGAGACUACUGUGGUGCAACAGUAAACUAGAAUUCCUGAGCCAAAGGUUUACGGAGGGGAUCGCAGGGCCAAAGAAUUGGAGAAUUUUCUAUGGGACAUGGAGCAGUAUUUCAAAACUGCCUAUAUUCGAGAGGCUGAGAUGGUGGACAUCACUAUCAUGUACUUAACUGGUGAUGCCAAGUUAUGGUGGUGAACAAGGGUGGGAGAUGAAACCCGUGUUGUUGUGACGACUUGGGCUGACUUGAAGAAGGAAUUGAAGGGGCAGUUCCUUCCGGCGAAUUCGAGUUGGCAAGCGAGGGAGGCGUUGAGACGCUUAAAUCACGAUGGUACUGUGCGGGAGUAUGUGAAAAACUUCACAUCGUUGCUGUUGGAUAUCAAAGGAAUGUCCGAGGAGGACAAGAUAUUCAACUUCAUUGCAGGUUUGCAGCCUUGGGCGCAGGCAGAAUUGCGGCGCCAGGGUGCAAAGGAUUUUCAGUCAGCGUUGACUGUGAUGGACAGUCUUGUAGACAUGCGGUUUGACAAGGCUGACCAAGGAACAACCAAAACCAAGAAGGCAGACAAGGGUCGUGUCGUUGGAAAUCUUGGCGAUGGGCAGGAGAAGGGUAACAAAGUUGCUGAUUGUGGGCAGAAAAACAAGGGGCAGUCCAAGGCAGGCGGUUGUUUUAUCUGUAACGGACCACAUUUUGCACGAGAUUGCCCGAAGAAGGUGAAAUUGACAGCUUUGAUGGCUGAUGAAGAUCAUGAGGGGUCCGAUUUGGGUGCAGAGGCAAGCCUCAAUGUUGUUAGAGUUGGCAGCAUGCAGGUGCUGGGCCUUGUAUGCGACAUAAAAUAAUUUAAGUCUGUACUGAUCUUGGAGGGGGAGAUGCCAAGUUCAGUACAAAGGAAGGCAUCAAAUGGACUUGAUGGCUAGGAAAAGAUCUCCAUGGUUUAACAAUUAUGGGCUGCUCAGAAGUUCUUCGACGAGGGCGUCGAAUUCUUUAAGUUGGAGAUGGACACCACUCGAAGUUGAGAGUCCCUGAACCCAAAUCCUUUGGAGGCAGUCGAAAUGCCAAGGAAUUGGAAAAUUUUCUAUGGGACAUGGAGUAAUACUUCGUAGCUGCCCAUAUCCUAGACCGAGAGAAGGUCACGAUUACAAGCAUGUACCCGACGGAGGAUGCUAAACUCUGGUGGCGAACUCGGACUGAGGAUGAUGUUAGUGCGGGCAGGCCUAAGAUUGAGACGUGGGAAGUUCUCAAGAAGGAAUUGAAGGAUCAGUUCCUGCCUCUUAAUACUUCAUGGCUGGAAAAGGAUAAUUUGAAGCAUUUGAAACAGACAGGAUCUGUUCGGGAGUAUGUGAAAGAGUUUAGUUCUUUGAUGUUGGACAUCAAGAACAUGUCUGAGGAAGACAAACUGUUCAAUUUCAUGUCGGGUUUGCAACAGUGGGCGCAUACUGAGUUGCGUAGACAAGGUGUCAAAGACUUGCCUACAAAAAUUGCAGCGGCUGAUAGUCUGGUGGACUAUAAAUAUUCCGGUCCUAAUGCUGCUGAUGGUAAUAAGCAGAUGGGUAAGAAAGACGAGGGUGGUUCCAAAGAUGGCAAGAAGGACAAGAAAUCCAAGAAAGGUGGUGACAAGCAGUCAAAGCCUAAAGGUGAUGGGUAGUCCAAGGACAAGAACAAAGGUUGCCUCCUAUGUGGGGGUCCCCAUCGGAUGAGGGAAUGCCCAAAGAAAGAGAAAGUGAAUGCCCUGGUUGCGAAUGACUCGAAUGAUGAAGGAACAUCAGAUGGUCCGAGAAUGAACCCAUUGCGGCAAAGACACUCACUCCACGUGGAUUGAUGUAUGUGUCAGUGGUUGUUAAUGGCCAGGAAUUGUUGGCCAUGGUAGAUAAUAGUGCUACCAAUAACUUUGUUGCAGAGAGGGAAGUGGACAAUCUGAAGUUAGACUUGCAGUAAAAUGCAAGUAAAAUCAAGGUUGUGAAUUCUGAGGCCAAACCAAUUCAUGGCACGGCAGUGGCGGAUUUGAAGGUUGGUCCGUGGGAAGGGAAGUGCAACUUGAUGGCUGUUCCUUUGGAUGACUUUGAUCUCAUCCUAAGAAACAAUUUUUUGAUGACGACAAAGUGCAUGGUGAUGCCUUAUCUUGGCGAUUGAUGAUCACCGAUGACAAGAUGCCUGGUUUUGUGAAUGCUAUAUACCCAAACCUGGAGAAGAAGGCAGGCAAACAAAAGACUGGUUUGUUGUCUGCGGUGCAACUUGAGUUUUGGCUUAAAAGGGGCGAAAAAACCUAUUUGUCUGCUUUGAUUGAGAUCAAGCUGGGUGUAGUCCAAGAGGUGUCAGAUGCUGUUGCUAAGUUGCUGGAUGAUUUCAAAGAUGUGAUGCCUCCAGAACUACCAAAGACCCUUCCUCCAAGGCGUGCUGUUGAUCAUAAGAUAGAAUUGGAGCCGGGUGCAAGAACCCCUGCUCAAGCCCCUUAUAGGAUGACGCUUUUUGAGUUGGUAGAGUUGAGAAAGCAAUUGACAGAGUUGCUAGAAUUUGGCUUUCUGCGACCCUCCAAGGCUCCUUAUGGUGCACUUGUGUUGUUUUAGAGGAAACAAGAUGGCUCGAUGAAGAUGUGCGUGGACUACAGGGCAUUGGAUAAAGUCACUAUAAAAAACAAGUACCCUAUUCCUAAUGUUGCUGACUUGUUUGUUCGUUUGUCCCGAGCCAAAUACUUUACGAAGUUGGACUUGAGAGCUGGGUAUUGGCAAGCGAGGAUUGCUGCUGGUGAUUAAGCUAAAACAGCCUGUGUGACAAGGUAUGGUUCGUAUGAAUUCCUUGUCACCGUUUGGCUUAACCAAUGUCCCUGCUACAUUCUGUAAUCUUAUAAGCGAUGUAUUUUAUGAGUAUCUAGAUAGAUUUGUUGUUGUUUAUCUAGAUGACUUUGUUGUAUAUAGUGAAACACUAGAUGGUCACCUUAAACAUCUUAGGUUGGUUUUUCAAAAGCGGAGAGAGUUUUAGUUGUAUGUGAAAAAAAGAAAUGUGAGUUUUGUAGAGCAGAGGUCAUGUUCCUUGGGCACUGGAUUAGCCAAGGACAGGUGAGAAUGGAUGAGAGGAAAGUCCAAGCCAUUAUUGAAUAGACUACUACAAAAGUUGUUGAGUUGAGAUCAUUUCUGGGAUUGGCAAACUACUACCGAAAGUUCAUCAAGGGAUAUUCAAAAAUAGUCUCCCUUGAUUGACUUACUCAAGAAGGAUAAUAAGUGGGAAUGGACAAUGGGAUGUUAAGAAGCAUUCAAGAGAUUAAAAGAAGCUGUGUCAUCUGAACCAGUGUUGAAGCUUCCUGACUUUGAGAUUCCUUUUGAGGUGUAUACUGAUGCGUCUGAUAGGGCUAUUGGUGGGGUGCUAGUGCAGAACAAGCAUCCAGUUGCAUAUGAAAGCCGAAAAUCGAAGGAUGUUGAACAAAGGUACAAUACUCAUGAGAAGGAGAUGACUGCAGUGGUGCAUUGCUUGGAAACGUGGAAACACUACUUGUUGGGUACGAAGUUUGUGGUGGUGACUGACAAUGUAGCCAACACCUACUUCAAGACUCAGAAGAAGCUGGCCCCUAAGCAAGCUCGUUGACAGGAAUUCUUGGCAGUUUGAUAUUGUGUGGGUACACCAACCUGGUACGCAUAAUUCAGUUGCUUAUGCAUUAAGUAGAAAGGUGGUGCAAGAGUUUGUUGCUGCUUUCACGGUGGUUGAGACAAUUCCUGGACAAGAUUAAGGAAUUAUCCCAAAGUGAUGUUGUUUACCAAAGACUUCGUUCGCAAGUACAGGAAGGGCUGGUUUGAAGAUAUUGGGUUGAAGAUGAGUUACUUUAUGCAAAAGGCAGUAGAUUGUAUGACACAAAGUGGGCUGGUCACCCAGGCAUUGAGAGAAUGUUGGCUUUGCUGUCUCGUUCGUACUACUGGCCUAAGAUGGAAAAUGACGUUGAGGCGUAUGUCAAGUUUUGUCUCGUGUGCCAAGUGGACAAACUUGAGAAAAAGAGUGAAGCAGGCUUGUUGCAGCCUCUUCCUAUUCCUGACAGACCCUGGCAGUUAGUAUCGAUGGACUUUAUUUCUGGAUUGUCGAAGGUUGAUGGGAUGAGAUCAAUAUUUGUUAUAGUUGAUUGUUUUUCCAAGUAUGCGGUGUUCAUCCUGGCACCACAUUCUUGUACGACAGAUAUUGCUGCUAGCUUAUUUUUCAAGCAUGUUGUUAAAUAUUUUGGGUUGUCUGAAGAUAUAAUAAGUGAUCGAGAUACUCGGUUCACGGACAUGUUUGGGAUGGUUUUGUUUGGUUUGAUUGGGUUUGAAUUGAAGUUCAGUACCACAAAUCACCUCAAACAGAUGGUCAGACUGAGAGGAUGAAUCAGUUACUUGACAAUAUGUUACUGCAAGUCAGAAAAAUUGGUUGGAGUUGUUAGAGCCAGCUCAGUUUUGUUACAACUUGCAUCAAUCUUCUGCAACAUGUAUGAGUCCCUUUGGGUUAUCAGCCAAGGACUCCAAACGAUGUGGCUGUGCAACGUACCGGAGGUAAUUGUUCUGCUGCUUACAGAUUUGCAAGAGCUAGAACAGAGUUGAUUGUAAAGAUAAGAAACAGUUUGAGCAAGGCAGUAAGAAAGAUGAAGAAGUAUGCUGAUGCACACAGGAGGCCGCUCGAAUUUAAAGUGGGAGACAUGGUGUUGCUGAAGCUGACACCAUAGAUUUGGAAGAAGAUCAGUAGUAAGGCUGUGCAUAGGGGUUUGAUUCCGAAGUAUGACGGUCCUUUCGAAGUGAUGAAAAAAGUUGGGGCUGUGGCUUACAGACUGAAGCUUCCAGACAGGUUGAAAGUACAUCUAACGUUCCAUGUGAGUUACCUUAAGCCAUUUCAGCAGGAAUUGCUAGAUUCUGAUAGGAAACAAGUCAAGAGAGCUCCGCUAGUGAUCAGAAAGCAGUUUGAUAAGGAUGUUGAGAAGAUUUUGGCUCAUAGGACUGAAGGUCAGAGCAAGAAAAAUCGUAGAACAGAUUAUCUUUGACUCACUCAAGUUAAAAAGAGUUAACACAAAAAAUUUCAAAGCAAUUAACUACAUAAGCUUUUUCUGAAGUAAAACGUGCCACAACAGUUGGUUGUGCUCAAUGGGAAAGAAAGGAUCAACACGCAGUCUCAACUAAUAAUUAAUCUGAAUACCUCAUCCCAACAUGCUUGAUAAAUAACUCCUUGAAAUAGCAAUACACAACAUGCUUAUCAUUGGCCACAAUCAAAAAUUAUAAACCCCAAAAAAUAAUAUAUAUAAACCCCAAAAAAUAAUAUAUAUAAACCCUUGCAAUAAUAUAAUAACUCAAAAUAGGGUCUAAUAAAGCUAUAACAUGACACAAAAGAUUGAUAAGCAUCCAUUCAUAACAAAAAGAUAGAUUAUUAUCCAUACAUGAUGACCUAUAUAAUCCAUGCAUCAAAACAUAAUAAUUCAUGGCGGCAAUUAAUAAAUGUUCAUAUUACAGCCUUAAUACUAAUAAAGCAAGAUAUAUUGUACUAAUGACAUUCUAAUAACAUCAUGAUAUAAGAAAGCAAAGUGAUAAACACCCCCAAACUUGAAAUGGGCAAUGCCCUCAUUGUGUAGCAUGUAAAUAUCAAUAUGUGAGGGCUUCCCUGAGGGUAUGAUCACUCGGUGCCAUUGCCUUCGCCGCCCUCAUCCAUGGUGGGAGACGGUGGUGGAUAUGGAGGGAAUAUCGGAGGUUGAGGAAACUGGAAGGGCAUAAACUCUGUCUCAUCUCCACCAAAUGACGAGUAGAUAUUAGCCACUGUGGUGACGAACUCUUGAUACUGCAUCAUCAGGUCCUGUCUUUGAGCCACUACGUCGAUCCGCCGAGACUGUAUGUCGACCCACUGUGCGACCCCAUCAACCUUCUGAUGUAAUAGAGUCAGAGAUGUGAGAAUGUCCGCCAGGGGCCCAACUGCAAGAUCUUGCUGUUGCUGAGUAGAAGUCUCGGCUUUUGACGAAGAGCGAGGCUGAGUUGGCAGGUAGGUAGCCUUCACCUCGGAUAUGAGAGAUUGCUCCAACCCAACACUGAAGCGCGAAAUGAUGGCAUGAUCGAUGACUGACAUGGGUGGCUGGACUAUCUUAUCUUCUUGCCAUAGAACGUUCGCUCGUUUACACAGCCUUGUGAUCAUUGACGGGUGUUGGAGUCCCCUAAAUGUACUGCCCUUAAUAGCUUUCUGGAUGGAUUCUUGAAUGAUUACUCCAAUAUCGACCUUCAGACCGGUAACAAUGGCAAAGAGCAAGAUCGCUCGCUCUCUGGUGACGUUGCUAUGGUGACGGGUCGGCAUGACUGAGUGCCUAGUGUGGGAAGCUUGUCUUUCACUCGUGUAUUCAUUAGUUUUCCAAGUCGUACUGGGCUUACAAAGCCGUUUGAUAAUGUCCUCCAGAUCAUAGCUACGAAACCCAUUCUCCAGGUAAUCCUUUCCAUCGUAGUUAAGCAUUUGAAAAAGGGUAUUGAUUGUUUUGCUGUCAUAGGCCACUGCUUGACCUUAAACCUGAAUCACUAAUGAACCUUCAACAUUGGCAUUAGCAAAGAACUCUCGGACCAAAGAGAUAAUGGCAGAUUCUGGCUGCGUUGUGAAACGAACCCAUUUUCAUUUAGUAAUCGUCAACCCCAUCGCUCCAUCCUUCCUCUGAUCUAGCCUCGAGCCUCUUUCAGGCACCAAACUCUUAUUGACCAAAAUUUGGUUGUACUUUGUCACUACGCUUUCAAAUUUGGUACGGUCCCAUUGUGGAGCGGCUGCGGCCCAAGAAGUGCCGGUGCGUUGUCGUUUAGUAGCUAUGUCAGGAUUCUCAACAACUACUAUGCACAAAUGACCAAAUGCAAUUCAAAACCAAGCUAAACUACAAUCCAAACUACAAUCUGACAAACCAAAUUGAACCCAAGCUAAAUUGCAAACCAAUGUUCACCUGAAAACACAAACUACAGACCAAUCCCAAACUAUAAAACCCAACUACAAUUCAAUGCCAACUACAAGCUAAACUGAGCCCAAUGUUCACUUGGGCGAAUUGUCGAGCACCUGGCGUGCGUUGUUUAAAACCCCUUCUGCUAGCCCUUGUUUAGUUAUAUCUAACCCAAAAUUUUCUCAAAGCAAAUCACAACAAAUCCAAACCAAUAAUAGCAAACCCAAGUAAUUGCAGAAUCACAACAGUACAAAGUCUAUGUUCAAGCCCCAAUUUCAGAAAAUGGCUAAAAUUCUUAAAUUUCGAAGUAAUCCAAUUACCAAGGCCUAUUGCACCUUAUUUCACUUCGUAAUUGAGUCAGUUAAACAAAACUUACUUAUGAAUUGGAUAUAAGCUCUGUGAUUGAAGAUUUGGGUUGGCCUCUGUGCACUGUAUAACCCUAAUUUGGACUGUGGCAUUGGACCACUUAAUACCCUGCGAUUGACUAUGUAUCCAAAUGAUGAUCAAUUAACAUGGAAUUGGAAGAGAGAAGUAAGGAAUUUUGAUUGGUUUUAACAUACUAAAAACUAAGACACAAACUCAAAUUAUUACCAAACUAAUACUAAUUUAUCAACACCAAACUUGAUGUGAAGGACUUUAAUUAACUCACAAGUCAUACGUUGUAACACCCCAUUUCCCAAAAGGAAAAGGAAUGUCACGCACAAGCAUAAUAAAUACAAACCUCAAUAAAUCCCAAAAUAUCUCCAAUGAAAUUGAACACUAAUUGUCACAUACUCCAAUUUAAAUAGAAGGAACUCCACAUUUACAUAGUCUCUACUAUUAAAAUAAAUGCCAAAAUGGCCCAAACAUCCAUAUACAGAAUAUUAAGAACACCAAGUCUAAUAAUGAUUCUCAAAAACUAAUUUACUCAUUUGAAUCAAAGGUGGCUCUCAUCCCACACAUCCUGAUCACCCCUAAUUACCUGCCGGAAAAAGAACACAGCGUGAGCCAAUUGCUCAGUACGGAUAUGAAGAUGAAUAAAUAAAUCACAAUAAGUAACGAAUCUAAAAGAGUUGAAUAAAUGAACACGUGAAUUACAAACGAAUUACGAAUAGAUCAGAAUUUGGGAGUCCAUAAACAAAUGACUAACACUAUCAAUCGAAUAAUUAUAGCCAAAAGAAUCCCAAACAAUAAGGCUGAAUCAAAUGGUUAUAGGUGACAACUUCAUACUGAGCUCAAAUACAAAUAGCCAAAAGGCUAACAAAAUACAUCGGUAUCAUGAUGUAUACAAAUCAAAUCGGAUAGUACGCACGACACAUACGUCACUAAUCCGCCAAAUAAAUCCAAUCAAAUCAAAUACUGGGUCGACCCAUACGUAUCCUGAACAAAUAUAUCAAAUGGCCAAAGCUCAUACUCCGAGCAUACAAAAGGAUACGCCGUGGACUGAUCACACCGCCACGGAAGGUGUCAUGCCCUUGUGUCAAGAGGACAUACCCGUGGUACCCCCACAGGUGGUUAGCUCAAGUAUACCCUAAUGAUCAAACUACAAAAUGUAAGCCAAAAGGGGUUCAAAUCACAAGGCUUACAUGACCAUCUCCGAAUGAUAUCAAAUUAUCAAAUACGAACAUACUCAAUAUCACAGGAUAUCAACGAUCAAAACAACUCCUGAAUGUGAACAAAAUUAUACAAAGAAGGAUACAAACGAAUAAAGUCUCCAAAAUACGAAUUUUAAUGUCAAUGCCAAAAUAAAACUAUCACAAUAAAUUGGACAUCAAGAAAUAAUCCUGAGAAGUAAUACCAAAUCUCUAAACAAAUAUCAAAACGAACGAAUUAAAUUUAAAAGACCAUCGCUGAAAAAGUACGGAAUCCGUACCUUAAUGCAGUACCAAAAUGAUUCGUCGAAUCCAACUAUCACCCGUUAAACUCCCUCAAUCCGAUCUAAUUAUCAAAAUAAAAUACAAUACAUAUAAUUAAAUUAUGAAUUCAUACAAAUUAUAUUUUCAUAAAUUCAAUAAUUUUUUUUUAAUAUACUAUAUUCAGUUUGUAAUAAAAAAAUAAUACAUUUUAAUUAUAAUAACAAUAUUAUAAUGUUAUUUAUUAUUUUUCCCUUAUUAAUCUUCUGCAAAUCUUAUAUAUAUAUAUAACGAAACUGCAGUAUAUAUAUAUAACUAGAAUCAGGUAAAUAUAUAUAUAUAUAUAUAUAUAUCACAUUUUACCAACCUGUCAACUUAUCUCAAGAGAACAAAUAUAAGAUAUCAUCAAUAAAACAUAAGCCUAACAAACAAAUGCUACAAAUCUAGUCCGUUCAACAACUAUAUUCAAUAUACAAAGUACUUUUAUUUUCAAUCAUGGAUAAUAUGAUCUUGCACCAUACAUGUAUGCACCAUACGAGCACUAAUACGAGCGCAAUUCGUAUAACUACCCAAUGGUCUACCCAUACGAGCACCAAUACGAGCGCAAUUACAAUAAUCUAAUAACUUACCAGCCAAUUUCCCCACUUUUCUUGUUCGGCUGAGUUCUCCCCCCCUUUUUUUUCCUUCAGUUGAUUCGUAUUAAUGUAUCAUGUGUAAGAUUAGGUUUUACUCAUUUAUUUAUUAAUAUUUUUAAUUUUUAAUAGGAUUUAAAAAUUACAUAAAUACAAAUUAAACCCAAAUAGUAUAAAAGCCCAAAUUAAUGUACUCAUUUACUUAUUUUGGUCCAAAUAAAUUAACUACAGUUUGACCCAAAUAUAAGAAAAACCCAAUUAAAUAUUUUAAAACUUAAAUAUUUUAUUUUUAUUUGCUGGGUAUUACAUACACAAAAAUGACCAUAUCAUGCCGCCUAUUUGUCUUUUCCUUGCACUGUAUGACAUUCGUGCAAGGUUGGCGACCCUCCAACUCAACUUCGUUCUUUAGCAAGAGAUUGUUUGACUUAUCCAUUAAUUCGCCUUUCAGAAGAUCAACCUGAAAAACACUCUUCAUGAUCCAUUGGGUCGUCGUGGGUUUUGAAAACCUUGAAUGUGGUUUCAAGAUCUUCAUCUUCCUUGCCAUUACACCCAAUCAUGCUCCUAUGUUCUCCAACCUCGUAAUCUAUAGUCACAUCAGGAUGCAUUUCGACAUUGUCUUCAACAUCCUUGUGUAACUCCUCGCCAUUUUCUUGCGUAUCCACCAUGCAUUGUUCUUCACUCUCCUUGGUAGGAUUCAUUUCUGUGAGGCUAGGUAAAAUGCUAUGCGGUUGAUUAAGGAUAAUAUUGGCAAGUUGUCCUACUUGGCUCUCGAGGUUCGACAAUGAAGCGUCUUGGUUCGUCAUCCGAACCUCAUUUUGCUAUAUAUGAUUUUGGAAAGGAAAUCCUCCAACCUUCCUGAUAUGAAAAAUUUGGAGCACAAGAUUGCUCUUGACUGUUGUCCCAUGAAAAGCUUGGAUAACUCUUAACACUCUGGAUGAUAGUGAGAUCAUAACGUCCCCCACACAAAUAAAUGCAAUGUUUCAUUUAAAUAUCCUAACUGUCCCUUUGAUUAUAGCUGUCACGAUGGAUCGUCGGGAAUUCACAAGUGUUCAUAUACCUCUUCCGAGGUACAUAUAAACCUAUCCUCUCUAGAUCUACCCAAAAUGGAAUAGAACGGAAAGGAACAUCCUAGCUAAAUAUUCCGACAUAUUCUUAUGCAAAUUAACCAUAGACAAGAAAUUCAAGCUUAGGUUCUCAAUUAGGUCACACAUGGCGUAUAGGUAUAUUUCUAUCUUAUACACAAAUUAUGUAGUCUAUCUUAUACACAAAGCAUAAUCCCAUUCCAAAAUAUUCAUGGUCUAAAUCUACAGUCCAUUUCCCAAGUUUACUUCAUAACUUUUAAAGUAGCUUUUAAAGUAAACAUCAAUAGCAACAUAUGUAAAUAAUAUGUAAAUUGUACAUUGUAAACGACUUGUCGCCAUACGGACGCCAUGACGGUCACCUUGUCUCCUAGGCGUUCUGGCAGGCGGUAGCUUGCCGUGGUGCUGUAACAACUAUGGUGGGUGCCAUUUCUAUUCAUAAGGGAGCUAACAAAUUUUUAGUUGACUCUCAAAGCCUGGUGUGACCCUCUUUUAUCUCGCCUUGAGACAUGCUAUUCACAAAGUAUAGGCCGAGUGGAGUAUAAUAUUUAUGGUUGUAUUAAUUAAAAUUAAAAGAGUUUUAUGUCAAUUUUAAGUUUAAAAAUCUCUUAUGUUUUGACUUUGUCAACAAUGAUCAAAUAAUAUGAAACGGAGGAAGUAUUUAAUAUACCAUUUAUAUGAAGGUAAAAUUUUAGUUGUUUAUUGUUGAAAAUAAUAUAUACACUAUAUAAUUUUUUUUUAUUUUUUUAUAUUCCAGUAUUAUCACCGCCUUUUAUAUUGUUUCAGCAUUUUGAAUGCAUAGCUUCCCUACAAAAGUUUACGGAAAGAGUUUGUUUUGGUAUAAAAUUUUGAAUUCAUCAUUGACAAAACUCACCAGGUUUGAAAUGCAUUGGUGUUCCAUGUUCAAGCACAGAUUGGUUCAGGUCGGAGAAUUUGUUGAUUGUCUUAAGUAUAUGUAUUGUAAAUAAAAAUCCACUAUUGUUAAGUGAUAAAAAAUAGUUAAAUAUAUAUAUAUUUAACAUUGUUUUACUAUUGUUUCCAUAUAACAUGUUUGCAUGCAUUACUAUUUUCCUAUUGUUUUUCGUUAGAUAUUGUGAGUUGAAGCUGAUUUCUUAGUCAACAUUCAUUCACUUAUUUGUUUCCUUCUCAACAGAUGGCCGUCUGUAUGCUGCCACUCCGGUUGAUCCUGUUUUCAUUUUGUUGCCCAUUCUUGAGGAAGCACGAAUGAAGGUAUUUUCAUGAUUCUUAGUGCCUAAUUUUAACUAUUCAAUCACAAAUGCUCAUUUUCUUCUCCGCUUGAACACCCAUCGUUGAGUCUAUUUAAACUGUUAUUCAGAUACCUCAAUUAAGGCAGAUAUGAGUUUUCAUUUUGGACUCUGAAGGCGGAAAUAUGUUUUGACCACCCAAACUUGUUUAUUUUUUAAUUGCUUUAGCUUUUCCUUGGAGACUUAGAGAGUACCAUCUGUACACUCGAGAGGAACUGUGCUGAGUUGUUUGGUUUGGAAGGCUUAAUUGCUUUAAUAAGUCCUCAACAUCUUUAUUUUUUCAUACUUGCAAACUGUUAGUAUCAUUUUUCAUAUCUAACUGAUUAAUUAGUUCUCUAUCCGAUUAAUUAGUUUUUAAUAUUUAUUGAUCUAUUGUGUAAGGGUUGCAGAAGGAAGGAGAUCCAGGGAAGUUCAGGCAACUAGAUGAGAUUAUUUUCAUUAAUGGGUAUCCUGGAUAUCAACAUUUGUCAACCAUUGCAGAU
RNAcentral lists this long non-coding RNA (25089 nucleotides) under Panax ginseng (ginseng). RNAcentral's name for it is "long non-coding RNA (PGIN_LNC010045)". The record is from RNAcentral. Lineage: Eukaryota; Viridiplantae; Streptophyta; Magnoliopsida; Apiales; Araliaceae.